GAGUUUGAUCCUGGCUCAGGACGAACGCUGGCGGCGUGCUUAACACAUGCAAGUCGAACGAGAAUCUACUGAAAGAGUUUUCGGACAAUGGAUGUAGAGGAAAGUGGCGGACGGGUGAGUAACGCGUGGGUAACCUGCCUUAUACAGGGGGAUAACAGUCAGAAAUGACUGCUAAUACCGCAUAAGCGCACAGAGCUGCAUGGCUCGGUGUGAAAAACUCCGGUGGUAUAAGAUGGACCCGCGUUGGAUUAGCUAGUUGGUGAGGUAACGGCCCACCAAGGCGACGAUCCAUAGCCGGCCUGAGAGGGUGAACGGCCACAUUGGGACUGAGACACGGCCCAGACUCCUACGGGAGGCAGCAGUGGGGAAUAUUGCACAAUGGGGGAAACCCUGAUGCAGCGACGCCGCGUGAAGGAAGAAGUAUCUCGGUAUGUAAACUUCUAUCAGCAGGGAAGAAAAUGACGGUACCUGACUAAGAAGCCCCGGCUAACUACGUGCCAGCAGCCGCGGUAAUAC
Molecule: ribosomal RNA, 516 nt
Filed under: uncultured bacterium
Lineage: Bacteria
Description: bacterial SSU rRNA
Rfam family: Bacterial small subunit ribosomal RNA
Source: RNAcentral